AUUGAACGCUGGCGGCAUGCCUUACACAUGCAAGUCGAACGGCAGCACGGGAGCAAUCCUGGUGGCGAGUGGCGAACGGGUGAGUAAUAUAUCGGAACGUGCCCAGUCGUGGGGGAUAACGUAGCGAAAGCUACGCUAAUACCGCAUACGAUCUAUGGAUGAAAGCGGGGGAUCGCAAGACCUCGCGCGAUUGGAGCGGCCGAUAUCAGAUUAGGUAGUUGGUGAGGUAAAGGCUCACCAAGCCGACGAUCUGUAGCUGGUCUGAGAGGACGACCAGCCACACUGGGACUGAGACACGGCCCAGACUCCUACGGGAGGCAGCAGUGGGGAAUUUUGGACAAUGGGCGCAAGCCUGAUCCAGCAAUGCCGCGUGCAGGAUGAAGGCCUUCGGGUUGUAAACUGCUUUUGUACGGAACGAAAAGGUUUCUCUUAAUACGAGGAGCUCAUGACGGUACCGUAAGAAUAAGCACCGGCUAACUACGUG
RNAcentral lists this ribosomal RNA (484 nucleotides) under uncultured bacterium. Its description in RNAcentral is "bacterial SSU rRNA". It matches the Rfam family "Bacterial small subunit ribosomal RNA", at positions 30 to 507 of the family's 1533-position model. The record is from RNAcentral.